AAGACUGACGAUCUGUAGCUGGUCUGAGAGGAUGAUCAGCCACACUGGGACUGAGACACGGCCCACGACUCCUACGGGAGGGCAGCAGUGGGGAAGUAUUGGACAAUGGGCGAAAGCCUGAUCCAGCAAUACCGAGUGAGUGAUGAAGGCCUUAGGGUUGUAAAGCUCUUUUAGUCAGGGAAGAUAAUGACGUUACCUGCAGAAAAAGCCCCGGCUAACUCCGUGCCAG
Molecule: ribosomal RNA, 229 nt
Filed under: uncultured Isoptericola sp.
Lineage: Bacteria; Bacillati; Actinomycetota; Actinomycetes; Micrococcales; Promicromonosporaceae
Description: partial 16S ribosomal RNA
Rfam family: Bacterial small subunit ribosomal RNA
Source: RNAcentral